CGGUUCCUAAUAGGAAUAAUGACAAGGAUAAAGUACAAGAAGCUCUUUCGUAGAGGAGCAUAAUAAGCACAAUUCUCGUCCUAGCUUUAAAGUCCACUUUUGGCAUGGCCAAGCAAGAGGAGUUCAAAGAAUGGUUGUCACGCAUGACCUGCGAAAGGAAGAUAAUGUCAGUAUAUGAAUGAAAAAUUGAUCUUUCAAUAAAGCCGCCUCUUACAAUGAAAUCAAGGCGACGAUACCUUCUUCGUAGUAUCCACUUACGAGAAUUUGGUAUUUCGUCAAGAUUUUAUUAGUAAGAGGUGAUUUCAUUAAAA
Molecule: long non-coding RNA, 311 nt
Filed under: Eucalyptus grandis
Lineage: Eukaryota; Viridiplantae; Streptophyta; Magnoliopsida; Myrtales; Myrtaceae
Description: long non-coding RNA (EGRA_LNC001995)
Source: RNAcentral